This 1320-nucleotide long non-coding RNA is filed under the name Homo sapiens (human). Its description in RNAcentral is "long intergenic non-protein coding RNA 1539". Lineage: Eukaryota; Metazoa; Chordata; Mammalia; Primates; Hominidae. The record is from RNAcentral.
ACAGCGUGUCACCAGAGAGGAAAAGAAUAUCCUUGCUGUGCCAAGAAAGAAAAGACCAUGGAUCUACUAGUUGCAGAUUUCAGCAGUAAUGCCAAGGGGGCAAGAAGUGACCAGCAGAACAAUUAGGCCAUGGCAACAGAAGCCAACUACAACCCAUGUUCCAAUCUAUGACCUCCCUCUCCUGCUGGUACAAGGAUAUGAUCUGGAGUCUGGGAAGUUCAAGAGCAUGGCACCAACAUCUGGCAAGGGCUUUCAUUCUGCAUCAUCUCAUGGAGGAAAAUAAAAAGGAGGCUGGAUGCUCCUGUGAAGUACGUCUUUUAUCUACUUGCUAUCUUUGCAAUUCCUUCAUGCUACAAUGAGAGAUAGAGUUUAAACCUGAAAACAUUCUUGGAAAAGGAAUCUUCAUUAAUUCAAAUAUACCACAAGAUUCACCACCAUCACUACUCUAAGUAUUUUUCUUCUUGAGAAAGAGAAGGAGAGGGAAAGCAAGGAAGAGGAAGAGAAAGAGAAAUGGAUAAAAACAUGGUCAAGUAGAAGAGUCUGUGUGUCUUCCAGAGUCCUCACGAGUAUCAGAGAAGGCAUAAUCUGUACACGUGGCUUCAUUUAAAAUGAAAAUAUCAAGCAGUGUCAUUUUCACAAGUAUCCCCACACUGUCUGAGGCUGAAAAGAAGAGUGUAGCUAUGCACACUGCAGUGAGAAGAAAAUUUCAGCUCAAUUGGAGGAUGUAAAGAUUGAAAUACCACUGCUCCUAGUUCUGAUGCAAAAUUGAAAAGAGUGCACUGGGUCUUCAAAUGGCAUAUUGACAAGGAGAAAGAGGAAAGGAUGCCCCAGGACAGCCUGGGGGUCAAGGCUGGGCUCAGGCAUGCCUGGACAAGCCAUGCAAGUUGUCUCCGGACUUGAACCACGUAUCAGAGGAGCUAUUUGAGGAGCCACAUCAGCAUACCUGCUUCUGUGGGCCCCCAGGCUGUGGUGCUCAGCCCUUGCACUAUGAAACAUUUUUUUUUUCCAGAAGCCAAAGCUUUGAGCAUCUCCUCCCAUGUAGAGAGUGUAUAUGUUUACGUCCAUGUCUUUCGCCAUGUGAACGCAUGCAACCACCACCUCAAAUAUCAUAAAUCCUCUCUCUCCCCCUUUCUGUCUGCCUGUUUAUCUACAAUCUGUCUAUUUAAAUUCUUUUUAAACAAGAAGGGAAUAUCUUUAUGCCUGUUUGUAGGGAUAUUCUACAUCCAUCUGUUAUUUACAUCAUUCGUUUUCCUGAGGUGUCUCCAACAAAUCCUGGCUGGAUGCACUGUAUGUGUUAUUAAUAAAACAGCUGUAAAAAUA